Molecule: long non-coding RNA, 801 nt
Organism: Mesocricetus auratus (golden hamster)
Lineage: Eukaryota; Metazoa; Chordata; Mammalia; Rodentia; Cricetidae
Exons: 2
Source: RefSeq, a predicted model, not a curated record
GUCCCCACCCUCCAUCCUCAUGCCUCACUGGCCACUUGUCGCUCCGCAGCGACUGGGACCUGGAGGCUACGGGAGACCUGGAUGAUACAGUCCCGGGCAGGGAAAAACGCUGCAAGCAGCACGAAACAGUGUCUGCCCUAAAGUUUCCCAGAAUUGCACUGAGUACAGAAUGAAGCAAGUUGCAUCAUUCCUGCCGGGAAAGACGCAGUUCUGACCCUGGACCCUGAGAGCUAAGGAAUGAGGGUUUCUGGAGGGAAUUCUUCCUGGACCUGCUGCAACUUGGAACUUGGAAAAGAACCCAGGCAUCACUUCACUCUUCUCUUGGAUUUAGUUGAUGACAGAGGCUUCAUCUCCUAUGGAAACCACCUCUUGCACUCUCUUUGGGAUUAGCCUUUCACAAGGGAUUCAGAAUAAAGAGUACAAAGAACAAGCCUUAGUCUGAGCCUCAAUUUGGAGAGCAAUGGUAUUUCGAGAAGUAGGCUGUGGCAAACACAGACAAAUUGAGGACAGUACCAUGAGACAAGGACAUUUCUCUCUACAGAAAAGCACCAUGUGAAGGACAUCAAUUUGGAUGAUUUUGAAAGGACCUUGGCAUCCAGACAUCCUUUUGUCAAAGCCUGGCAGAGACUGAUUGCAAAGUGGCCUACCAUAGUCCCCUGAAAAAAUUAGAAGACUAUGAACUACUUUAACCAAAGACUCAAAUAACAUCUGAAAGCUAGUGUAAAUUUAUUCAGAUUGUGUGAAAGUUACAGAUAGGUAAAAGCGACAGAGGAAUAAACAAAAUUGGGCAUUUUAAACUCA